AGUGCUUGCACCCUUUGGACGUCGACCGGCGCACGGGUGAGUAACGCGUAUCCAACCUGCCCUUUACUUGGGGAUAACCCGUUGAAAGACGGACUAAUACCCAAUGAUAUUCAUUGAUGACAUCUGAUUUGAAUUAAAGAUUUAUCGGUAUAGGAUGGGGAUGCGUCUGAUUAGCUUGUUGGUGAGGUAACGGCUCACCAAGGCAACGAUCAGUAGGGGUUCUGAGAGGAAGGUCCCCCACAUUGGAACUGAGACACGGUCCAAACUCCUACGGGAGGCAGCAGUGAGGAAUAUUGGUCAAUGGACGAGAGUCUGAACCAGCCAAGUAGCGUGCAGGAUGACGGCCCUAUGGGUUGUAAACUGCUUUUGUUUGGGAAUAAUCGACAUUACGUGUAAUGUUUUGCAUGUACCAUUCGAAUAAGGACCGGCUAAUUCCGUGCCAGCAGCCGCGGUAAUACGGAAGGUCCAGGCGUUAUCCGGAUUUAUUGGGUUUAAAGGGAGUGUAGGCGGUUGGUUAAGCGUGUUGUGAAAUGUAGAUGCUCAACAUCUGACUUGCAGCGCGAACUGGCUGACUUGAGUACACACAACGUAGGCGGAAUUCAUGGUGUAG
This 610-nucleotide ribosomal RNA is filed under the name uncultured bacterium. RNAcentral's name for it is "bacterial SSU rRNA". It matches the Rfam family "Bacterial small subunit ribosomal RNA", at positions 75 to 678 of the family's 1533-position model. The record is from RNAcentral.